UUAUGACCUGGGCUACACACGUGCUACAAUGGCGGUACAAAGGGUCGCGAACCCGCGAGGGGGAGCCAAUCCCAAAAAGCCGCUCUCAGUUCGGAUUGCAGGCUGCAACUCGCCUGCAUGAAGCCGGAAUCGCUAGUAAUCGCGGAUCAGCAUGCCGCGGUGAAUACGUUCCCGGGCCUU
RNAcentral lists this ribosomal RNA (180 nucleotides) under uncultured Anoxybacillus sp. RNAcentral's name for it is "partial 16S ribosomal RNA". It matches the Rfam family "Bacterial small subunit ribosomal RNA", at positions 1202 to 1382 of the family's 1533-position model. The record is from RNAcentral. Lineage: Bacteria; Bacillati; Bacillota; Bacilli; Caryophanales; Anoxybacillaceae.